Molecule: transfer RNA, 76 nt
Filed under: Acinetobacter baumannii
Lineage: Bacteria; Pseudomonadati; Pseudomonadota; Gammaproteobacteria; Moraxellales; Moraxellaceae
Description: tRNA-Val
Rfam family: tRNA
About the family: Transfer RNA (tRNA) molecules are approximately 80 nucleotides in length. Their secondary structure includes four short double-helical elements and three loops (D, anti-codon, and T loops).
Source: RNAcentral
GGGCGCUUAGCUCAGUUGGUAGAGCGUCUGCCUUACAAGCAGAAUGUCGGCGGUUCGAUCCCGUCAGCGCUCACCA